GGUCUGUAAUAUUAACUGUAGAUGACAUUUAGUCAUGGAGCAGAACGAGAAGUAAAAUGCACUUAGAUCAAAUUUCAAGAUAUGUAUGUAAUCCGCCACAGGGGGGAGCCAAAGUCUUUGUUUUGCUGUGGGUUGGGUUUUUCAGAUUUUUAGUGUAUACGUGAUUAAUUAUCUUGCCUUACAGGAAAACACUUUCUCCAGGUCCCCCGAUCCCACCCCACCCAAAUAUUGGUGUGAAUGGUUGUUUCUCAUGACAUGUGACCCUGUGAUGGACCGGCAGCCAGCCAUGACCACUGAGAUUGGCUCCACCCAGGAAAGAAGUACUGCUGACUGGACGUGGUUGCAGUUUAUUUGGGAGGCUGAAGUAGAAGAAGACGGAGGAGGCUGUACCAGAAUUUGGAACUCGAUGACAGGAUGAGGUCGCUGUAACCUGCCAGUUCAUCAGCGAGGCCGAGCUAAGGCCUUUAGCGCCGCCCAGGAGACACUGGCGAGUGUUUUCCUUGUCGCUGCAGUGGGAGAGCAUGAAGAUGCGCCUCUCUGCCUGCUGGCAGGAACAGCUCCACUCCUUGGUCGCUGCCGCCCUUCAGCAUUAGAACGACAUCACUGUGUUUGGCCCACUUACAGUCCUGACCGUCCACUGCUACGAUGUAGUCUCCUUCCCUCAGUCCUGCCUCCUACACAGUACAAACAUGAGGAGGAAAUAGUAAGAUAUUUGUUUCUGUUCUUGACAAAAGGCAUUUUAACUUGUUAUGCACUUGUCUGUUAUAUCAAUAUAUUGAGCCUAGUUCUUUAGGCCACUGAAUAAUUAGUCUCUCAAGACUUGAAUUUUUUUUUCCAAUGCACACUCAGUGCAACGUAGAAGAAAACAUCAAUACCCUGAUGUACUGCGAUAUUUCAUUUCACGAUACUGUAUCAAUAUUCAACAGCAUUGUAACAAUGUUUUUUUAACAAUUACUAGUCAAAUAUUCCUGGUGUUGGUUCAUUUUAUUUUUAUUUUCUUUCUUCUCUAGUGAUUUCAAAUGUAUAUCCCUCUGUUCCAGUGUUAGUGACCUGAUGUUAAAAUGGAACAGCAUUGAGUCUUUACUAUGGUGACAGUUUGAAUACAAUGCAAUUGUAUAUUGUUGUGCCUAAAGUAUCGCAAUAUAUCGUAUUGGUGCCCCUGUAUUGUGAUACAUAUCAUGUUGUCAGAUUCAUUCCAAUACACACUCCUAGAAACACGUGUUGGAAUCAACUUAGCCCUCACGUGUUUGUAUGCACUGAACACUGAUUAUAAAAAUGACAUCAACCCUCAGGGAUGUUUUUCCUUUUAUUAAAAUAAACCUUGAUUUCCAUUCACGCCUCCAAAUGUUCAGAGUUUCACUCCUGACUCACUCCAGUCUGACCUUCUCUCUAACGUAACACAAAUUGUUUAUUGUGUGUGUUUCAUUACCGCUGCACAGCCUCCAGGCACCACUCCUGCCACCAGGACGGGGGAGUCUCCUCUCAGUGUGAGGCCCAGUCCUCCCUCUC
Long non-coding RNA from Cynoglossus semilaevis (tongue sole), 1509 nucleotides. RefSeq lists it as uncharacterized. The record is from RefSeq and is a predicted model, not a curated record. NCBI's taxonomy places the organism in Eukaryota, Metazoa, Chordata, Actinopteri, Pleuronectiformes, Cynoglossidae. The transcript is spliced from 4 exons.